AUGAGCCUACGGAAUUGUCUUGUCUUGCUAGGGAGUUUUCCUGGGAGGAGAUUGUUCAAGCAAUCAACCAUUUGCCUAACAACCGCAGCCCUGGCUCGAAUGGGUUCACAAAUGAGUUCUACAAAGCUUUCCACAGUGUUAUCAAGGAGGAUCUGCAACUCUUUUUUGAUCAGUUAUACCACAACCAAGUGGAUCUCUCUGGCAUCAAUCAAGCAUACACUUCCCUCUUACCCAAGGACAGCCCCUUGGAGUUGGGUGAUUUUAGGCCAAUUUCUAUUGUACAUAGUGUGCCUAAGCUUGCUGGCAAGGUCCUUGCCCGGCGGCUACAACUGCAGAUCCCCUCUCUGGUUCACUCUUUGCAGGCAGGUUUCAUCAAGGGCCGGUCUAUUGUUAGAGAAUUUUGCUAUGGCUGCUAACAUGGUUCAAACUGCUCAUAAGAGGAAACUACCAAUAGUGGUCCUUAAGCUGGAUUUCCAGAAGGCGUUCGAUAAUGUCAGUUGGGCAUGCCUCUUCAGCAUUCUUCAGGCCCGUGGUUUUCCUCCACGCUGGAUCAUUUGGAUUACAUCGCUCUUGACCAUAGCUAGCUCUCGGAUCAUGCUUAAUGAUGGCAGUCUGCUUCAUCCGCUUGGCUUUGAUCGGAUGUUCCCUAUGCUGCAGUACGCCGACGAUACGUUGCUUCUGUUCCAGGGUAAUAUCCAGCAAGCGGCAAUCUUUAAACAAGUCUUAUCUGACUUCUCAGCUUUCACGGGACUGCAUAUCAACUUUCAUAAAAGCACUUUGAUCCCCAUUUGCAUCGACUCAAGAAGCACGCAGGAAAUUGCCGAUCUGUUUGGAUGCCCCAUCUCAAGCUUCCGUGCACAUACCUAG
This 867-nucleotide ribosomal RNA is filed under the name Triticum aestivum (bread wheat). RNAcentral's name for it is "partial small subunit ribosomal RNA". Lineage: Eukaryota; Viridiplantae; Streptophyta; Magnoliopsida; Poales; Poaceae. The record is from RNAcentral.